This is a long non-coding RNA of Raphanus sativus (radish), 876 nucleotides long. RefSeq lists it as uncharacterized. The record is from RefSeq and is a predicted model, not a curated record. NCBI's taxonomy places the organism in Eukaryota, Viridiplantae, Streptophyta, Magnoliopsida, Brassicales, Brassicaceae. The transcript has 3 exons.
GUUUUGUCUUUGUCUCCUCUUUUCUACCGACAGCUUUUUUUUUUUUAAUUUCAGACACAAAAUCUUUGAGUAAUAAAAAAAAACGAUUGCAAUGAUUCGGCGCUUGGACGAUUCGACUCUGGUUAAUUUAAAGUAUGGAUCCAGCAAAAGAGAAGCCGAUCGGAGACAUGCAAGAUCAGAUCGUGGUGUACUCGUACAUUUUUGGAAUAUAUACGAAGAUGGCGAGAGCACCGACAGAAGAAGUUCAUCCGAUAUAUAAGGGUAAUACAAAUUAAAAAUACUUGCGUUUCUUAAAGAUCUUGUUUAUCUGGUUACGUUUUUACUCAUUCAAACGAAGAAGAAAGCUAAAACAAAUCUAAUUUUUUUUUGUUUUUUUUUGUUUUGUUUUAUUGCUAUGAGAUGGAAAAGUGUCGUGACCACUCAGAAGCUGGAAUUUGUAUUUUUACAGAGUAUAUAUAAAUUCCUAAAAGACUUAAGGAGAAUCAAAAAUGGAUAUAUAUACAAACAAUGCUGAGAUGAGGCACGACUACGAAACCGUUUAAUAACUAAAGCAGGUAAUCAAUACUACUCAAAUAGUAUUAGUUAUGAAUUAGGAAUGUAAUUGAUAUUGGCUAGAUAGGAAAAUGGAACAUUAUGAAGCUUGAUGUGAUGAUCCUAUUUGCUUUAGGGGUAAUACACAUUUAAAAGUUUUGCCUAUCUUUUCUAUAAAAGUUGACCUGGUUACGUUUUAGGAUUGAUAAUGAAGAAGAAAGCUAAAACAAAUCUAAUAUUUUUUUUUGUUUUUUUUUGUUUUGUUUAUAUUGCUAUGAGAUGGAAAGGUGUUGUGACCACUCAGAAGCUGGAAUUUAUAUUUUUAACAGAGUAUAUAUAAAUUCC